GGGUGCAGGCGGUGGGGGCGAAGAUUGGGUUGGGUGAGAGACUAGAACCGGUGUUCUCAACCCUUCUGGAGCCCUACCCUCUGUGCC
This 87-nucleotide non-coding RNA is filed under the name Suid alphaherpesvirus 1. The record is from RNAcentral. Lineage: Duplodnaviria; Heunggongvirae; Peploviricota; Herviviricetes; Herpesvirales; Orthoherpesviridae.